UUACAACACGUGGUGCUGUUUCUACUCCAU
RNAcentral lists this non-coding RNA (30 nucleotides) under Homo sapiens (human). Lineage: Eukaryota; Metazoa; Chordata; Mammalia; Primates; Hominidae. The record is from RNAcentral.